RNAcentral lists this unclassified non-coding RNA (146 nucleotides) under soil metagenome. RNAcentral describes it as "partial internal transcribed spacer 1". The record is from RNAcentral.
UAAUAAGUGUUUUAUGGCACUUUUUAAAUCCAUAUCCACCUUGUGUGCAAUGUCAGAUCGAUCUUCUUCAUGGAGAUCGACCAAACAUCAACCUUUAUCUUUUAACUCUUUGUCUGAAAAAUAUUAUGAAUAAACAAUUCAAAAUA